GUGUGUGUGUGUCUGAAUGAGGGAAGCGUGUGUUGUGUAUGUACGCGAAGAAGCGGCGGCAGCAGCAGCAGCGGCGGCUGUAUUUAGAAGAGGCGGCGGAGCCGGCCGGCCGCGCCCGAAAGGGGCCAUUCUUCAAGAGUCUUCGUGAGUAUGUUUCUUUCGUAAGUGACCAGGCAGAAAACUGGGCUGCAGUGCGUUUUGCAGCUGGAAACACCCAGCUGAAGCGCGGGGCCUCUUAGCCCGAGGUUUUGAAAGUUCGUCGCGACAAUCCAAGGAGCGCCGUUUACUCGUGGAGGUUGUGGAAAGAGGAAGGGAAGAAGAAGAAGAAAAGAUGGAGGAGUGAGAACAGAAACCAGAGAGAGAGAGAGAGAGAGAGAGCAACGGCUAACAAUUCAAUCUCUCUCUCGCUCUCCCGAAGAACUGACUAUCCGCCGCUGGGGGCGUGGAGCACUGCCGCAGCCGCCGUCCGCGUCAAUUCACCAGGAGUGUCGUCGUCCUCCCCGGUUCAGCUCCAGGGCUCGGUCGGAACCACACCCUGGCCAGGUCUCCCUCAAGUCGUCGAGAGGACUUGGUCAGCACGCAGGAUCCCCCGCCUUUCCUCCCACCCGUCCGGACCGGGCUGCAAGGCCAGCGCUCGGGGUUGGUUUUUUUGCCUGUCAAAAACGUGUGUAUGUUGCUGUAGGAAAUGUACGUAUUUGUUGAGAAAAAUCCGGGAGGGAGGAUUAGGAGGAGAAGAAGAACGGAUAAUUUAAGUGUUGACUUUUUUUUUUUUGCUCUGGUCAAAAAGCGGAGGAGAAAACCCACCAGAGAAAAGGAGGCGUCCGCAAGAAUGGAGAAGGGGAAUCCUAUUUGCUUCUCCCUAGAACCGAGGACGAUGCGGGAGAAGAACGAAAAGUGUUAAUCGGCGCCGCCCGCCCCAUGUUGCUUAAUUUGUUUCUGCCUUAAUCUCGACGCCUUUGGCCGACGGCCCCAAUUGCUCCCCACGGGCAAACGUUCUGCGGACCCUUCCGCCCACGCCGCUGCUCCGCUUCCCACGGAAGUCGCGCUUGCCUUUACCCUCCUCCCCGUUGCGCCCACUCUACUCUCUUUCGCGCGCUCGUCCGCCCCGUGACAGCGAGCGGAGAAACCGCGGCCCUUCAAGUCUGCGCUAUGCAGCGGCUCUAGUUCCUUGACUGCAUUAGCGCGAGCGGGCGCGCGUGCUCGCAGGAAGCAACCCGGACAAGCAAGCGGCGAUCAAUUAGUCCUGACGGCAACGAAGAAGCGUUCGGCAGACGCAGCUGCAUCAAGUCUUCGAAGGAAAAGGGGGGAAAAAAUGCCCAUUAGAGAGAGAGAGAGGAGGAGGGAGUGCGGGGACAGCCCUCAUCCAAGAAAACAAGAAGCAAACGAAUUAAAUAUAUCCUAUUCACACACACAAACACCCGCGCGCCUUUAGAUUCGGAGGCUGCUUCAGCCGAAGUAAUGGCAUCGGUUUGCACGAACGGCGAUUUUAACCGCUCGGAACUUGCAGGCGAGCCAGGCAGGGUUGGGUUCCCUGUUCUUUCCAAUCGGCCAGAUUGGCAAUUUAAUCAGGCUCGUAGGGGAGAGAACCCGCGCUUUCAAGGAAAUGAAAGCAAAAGCCCAUUAGCAAGCGUUUAGGCAGCAAUUGCGGUGAUCAAGUAAAAAGCUGAACCUCGCGGGAGUUCAGGGCUCGGGUAAUAUUUGCUGGGCGGGACAAGGGGCGAGGCAUGAAAGAGGCAGAAAUUAGCCUGCCCUUGGGUCCGCGUUGGCAGCUUUAAAAGCCAUUCCAGUAAAUUCGCGGUCCUGCUUAAAAUCAUCUUGCUGCGAAGUUUUUUUGUUUUUAACGCGUGCGUUUGCAUCCGUUCAGAUCGUCUUUUUUUUUUUUUAUGCUUCCUCCGUAUUGGACAGAGGAAGAAUUGUUACGUUUUUUUAACAUUUGGGCCUCAGUCACUCUCUCACUUUCUGUGGCUUCCCAUACAGGGAGACUUGAGUUAAUCCACCAAGGGAGCAUAGCACACAAAGCUCCACCAUGUGGCAAGAGCGCAUCAGUCACUGGGUACUGAGUACUGGAAAUAGCAGUUGAAUAAAAGAAAUGGCUUCUCCCUGAAUUCUGACAAGUCAAAGGCUGCCAGCAAGUGGAGAGAAAGGGGGGGGGGGAUAAUCACUUAGCGAUGCUUUGAGAAGCAGCCUCUCAAACAUUCAUCUCCAGCAGUAUUGGAUGUAUUACUGUUGCCCAUCCCUAUUCACAUGGGUGGAAACAUUAAAGGCUCAAGAGCUGGUAGAGAAGUGAAGUUAGACCCACCCACCCACCCCACUCACCUCAAGAUUUGGCUGAUCUUUCAAGAUUAACCAAAAUCAAUGCCACUGCAUUAAAACAUUGAUCCCAUUAAAGCAUGUCAUGUACAAGUUCUGAUUUGCUGUAUAUGUAUUUAUUUGCAACCAUUGGUUUUAGCAAAAUUAGUUCUAAUUUGGAGAUAGGCAAAGAGUCCAGCGUUGCUAGGCUGGAGCACAGCUCCUUAAACAGACCAAAGUAGUACCAUAACAAUGAAUAGUUAUACAUGGCAGUAAUCAUCUCCAAAAGGGGGGGAAAACCUAUUUAUCAAGGCAUCAUUGUGAAAGAGAUAGAGAAAUCUAAGAGAAAAUGAUUUCUAUAGUAGCAUAUAUAACUGGCAGAAUUCAGCUAAUUUUGGCUGAUCUCAAAAAAGCUUGUUGGUAACCAGCUAAACAUGUUAGUUAGUACUUUGAUGAGAGACCACUAAAAUCCCAUGGAAAUGGGAUAUAAACUAAACGGGGGGAAUUAAAAAUAAACCCUUGAAGAAAGCAACAACAAAAUGCUUAUGCUCUGUUGCUAAAGUAAAAUCAUCAUGGGGUAGGAUUGCCCUGCGGGACACUUGAAUAGCAUUGCAGAAGAUUCAAAAUCUGAAUUCUAGCUUAAUAGUUGACCCCAACUUUGUAUGCCAAGACAAACAGCCUGAUGCCCUUAGGAGCUCCCAUCUGGCCCAGUACUUAGCCAAUACUUGUCUUGCUGCUUCAAUUUUUGAGUGCAGUGCCUGAACCCCAGGCCUUUGAUGUGAGCUGUGACUUUUAAGGAUAAAAUAUGUCAAUUACACAAAUGGUUCCAGUCCUCUUUGAUGUGUUGAUAGAAUAAGUCCACUUUCUUUUUCGCUUGAUGGUGCUACUACUACUUCUAUUGCCCCUUUUGAAUAUUCCCAAACCCAUCUGGUAUCUUACUUGGCAUGUGAGUGGCCAACUGGCAACUAGAGUUGCAUCCAUAACUACAACUCCUCUUUGUCAGCCACGUCUGAUUGAACAGAUUUUCUUUCCCAUAUGAAAUAAAAGGAGCCUCCAUGGUCAUUACAUUCUCACACAGAUUUUUUCAUGUUGCCUUUUGAUCUUGCCCCGGGAGUGAUAAUUGCUAAGCUCCAGGCAACUUGUGCCAAAGUCUGAAUUCCAGACUUGAAAUUCCCUGCAGUUAAAUAAAUUUCAGUUUUCAUUGUUCUGAGGAGCAAAUCACUGUGAAUGUUUUCUGGUUGGACUACCUAUGAGUUUCCUCCAUACAUAGCAGCCUGAUUUUUCAUUAUCAAAAUACUUUUCCACCAUAUUUCUAAAUAAACAAUAAAAGCCACCCAUAAAAGUAACAUUUCAAGAUCAAAUUCAUUUUUGUCAAUUUAUUUCAGCAUUCUUUUUCUCAUUGCUUGAUAUAGAUUUUGAGGAGUGAACAAUUUGAAUGUGGAUAAAUAAAAGUAAUAAUUCUUU
Molecule: long non-coding RNA, 3753 nt
Organism: Pantherophis guttatus
Lineage: Eukaryota; Metazoa; Chordata; Lepidosauria; Squamata; Colubridae
Source: RefSeq, a predicted model, not a curated record